Bacillus rossius redtenbacheri is the source of this 1416-nucleotide long non-coding RNA. RefSeq lists it as uncharacterized. NCBI's taxonomy places the organism in Eukaryota, Metazoa, Arthropoda, Insecta, Phasmatodea, Bacillidae. The record is from RefSeq and is a predicted model, not a curated record. The transcript has 5 exons.
ACACUACGCGAUCUUUGGCUUUCCAUAACACACACAAUUGCCGUAAAACAACAAUAAACAAUUCACCAAUGAAAGGUUUUGAAAUAAUUUGAAUGUAAGAACAUUUGUCUUUUGUAUCAAAAUAAACAUCACUAAGCCAGCAUGAUGUGCUCUUCGCAGUUAAAAAUUCCUCAAAAUUUUCCGGACAUUUUAAAGGAAUACUCCAAAGAUGCUAUUCGAACUCAGCCCUAUGAUAUUUUGGAGUGGUCUGCAGCUUAUUUUAGAGCAAAGGCUUCUGGUGAAAUUCCACCAGUGAAAGAAAGAUUGGAAUUUCCUCCAGUUGUUACAUCUGCUGGCCUUACUCCAGAAUAUUUGAAGAUGCUACUCAAGAAGUUUGGCUUCAGUGAUACAAUGACCAUUACAAAAGAUGCUGUGACUGAGCAGUGGAAAAAUUUAUGCCUGAAAGAAGAUAAGCUUCUGGAAAUUUUGGAUUGGAAUCACACUGAUUUGGUGGACUGGCCAAAGUUUAUUGCCGUAGCAGCUGGUUAUGUUGGAAAGUCAUUGACUGAAACAAUGGUGCUGCUGAUCAGACUGUUAGGAAGCAGUAGUGACACUGAAGUCGCCAGAAUUCCAACUCAACUGUUUUGUGAUCUCUAUUCGUUUCUGGCAAGUCUAGGUGCUGGGACUGGUUUUCCACAAAAAAAAGAAUUCUGUGAGAAUGAUACUGCAGCUGCCGGCAACAGCAUGAAGCGAGAUGUGCCUGGGAUUGGCCCAAAAGUUCCAGCAGAACAAAUUAAUGAUGUUAUUCAAUAUGUGAUGCAGAAGGGAGAUGGACAAGGAAACAUGAUCACGACUGAAAACCUUUUGGAUUUGUUGUGUCCCCCACUUGAUGCACACUUGUAACUCCACUCUCUCACCCACCAGUGCACAUUGUUUCAAUGAUAAAAAUGAUGUUGAUGAGAAUAUUUGAUUUUUGCUUAUAUAUAUAUAUUAGUGAAAGUAUUAAAAUAUGAUCAUUUAUUUUAUAUAUAGUGAAUCUAAUAACAAAGUGCGUCACUUUAUAAAAUAUCUCACUUUAUGCUACAGUAUGUAUUUUAGAUCUCUACGAGAUGUUGAACAUUUAUUUCAAUCUUAGAAUAAAGUAUUUACUUUAAUUGUUUGGUAUCAAAACUCUGAAACUUCUUCAGGUAUGAGAAAUCACCAUGUAUGGCACUGGCUGUUAGGUGGACAUAGUUAUCUCAAUAACUUUGCAGAUGCAUGUUUAUUGUUAUAACUAAAAAUAGUCAAACUGAAGUAAAAAAAGACUGUAGAUUUGGGUUUUCUUUUGGUACUUUGCUUGUGCUGUGAAAUUUAAGACAUAGUUGUAUUUAUUUGAUAUUUAUUUGUAAGAUUGUAUUUUUGUUUUAUACCACAUUAAAAGUUAUAUUAAAAGAGGAA